RNAcentral lists this ribosomal RNA (323 nucleotides) under uncultured bacterium. RNAcentral describes it as "bacterial SSU rRNA". It matches the Rfam family "Bacterial small subunit ribosomal RNA", at positions 396 to 736 of the family's 1533-position model. The record is from RNAcentral.
GCCGCGUGGAGGAUGACGCAUUUCGGUGUGUAAACUCCUUUUACGAGUCAAGAACAUGACGGUAGCUCGUGAAUAAGCACCGGCUAACUCCGUGCCAGCAGCCGCGGUAAUACGGAGGGUGCAAGCGUUACUCGGAAUCACUGGGCGUAAAGGAUGCGUAGGCGGAAGAUCAAGUUGAGAGUGAAAUCCUAUGGCUUAACCAUAGAACUGCUUUCAAAACUGGUUUUCUAGAAUGUGGGAGAGGCAGAUGGAAUUGGUGGUGUAGGGGUAAAAUCCGUAGAGAUCACCAGGAAUACCCAUUGCGAAGGCGAUCUGCUGGAACA